GCGAAUGUAGUAUAAUUGGUAAUGCCCUGCUUUGUCAAGGCAGCCUAUGCCGGUUCGAAUCUGGUCGUUCGCG
Molecule: transfer RNA, 73 nt
Filed under: Blastococcus fimeti
Lineage: Bacteria; Bacillati; Actinomycetota; Actinomycetes; Geodermatophilales; Geodermatophilaceae
Description: Blastococcus sp. DSM 44205 tRNA_Asp_GTC
Rfam family: tRNA
About the family: Transfer RNA (tRNA) molecules are approximately 80 nucleotides in length. Their secondary structure includes four short double-helical elements and three loops (D, anti-codon, and T loops).
Source: RNAcentral